GAAGAAACGUUUUCUGCAUCCAGGAUUAGCCUAAAUCCUUUGGGAUAAGGUAUCAUGGAGGGUGAGAAUCCCGUUCAUGGUUAAUCUUAAGGAAGCUCUACGAUACGUUUUCCAAGAGUCGAGUUGUUUGGGAUUGCGGCUCAAAAUGGGAGGUAAAUUUCUCCUAAGGCUAAAUAUUGGCGAGAGACCGAUAGCGAACAAGUACCGUGAGGGAAAGAUGA
RNAcentral lists this ribosomal RNA (221 nucleotides) under uncultured Glomus. RNAcentral's name for it is "partial 28S large subunit ribosomal RNA". It matches the Rfam family "Eukaryotic large subunit ribosomal RNA", at positions 151 to 367 of the family's 3401-position model. The record is from RNAcentral. Lineage: Eukaryota; Fungi; Glomeromycota; Glomeromycetes; Glomerales; Glomeraceae.